GAUGAACGCUGGCGGCGUGCUUAACACAUGCAAGUCGAACGAGAAAUGGAGACGGAAACCUUCGGGCGGAAGGCUUCAUUUCGAGUGGCGGACGGGUGAGUAACGCUUGGGUAACCUGCCUCAUACAGGGGGAUAACAGUUGGAAACGACUGUUAAUACCGCAUAAGACCACAGCACCGCAUGGUGCGGGGGUAAAAACUCCGGUGGUAUGAGAUGGACCCGCGUUCGAUUAGCCAGUUGGCGGGGUAACGGCCCACCAAAGCGACGAUCGAUAGCCGAUCUGAGAGGAUGACCGGCCACAUUGGGACUGAGACACGGCCCAAACUCCUACGGGAGGCAGCAGUGGGGAAUAUUGCACAAUGGGGAAACCCUGAUGCAGCGACGCCGCGUGAGUGAAGAAGUACUUCGGUAUGUAAAGCUCUAUCAGCAGGGAAGAAAAUGACGGUACCUGAGUAAGAAGCCCCGGCUAACUACGUG
RNAcentral lists this ribosomal RNA (477 nucleotides) under uncultured bacterium. Its description in RNAcentral is "partial 16S ribosomal RNA". It matches the Rfam family "Bacterial small subunit ribosomal RNA", at positions 28 to 507 of the family's 1533-position model. The record is from RNAcentral.